GACUUUAGAUUUAUUCUUUAAGAUUAAUAUUAAGAGAAAUGUGGCACAAUAUGAAGGCCGUCUCAUAUGGUACUUUAUAGUGUCCGCUCUAUAUGCUUUUUGUUCUACAUAAUUUGUAUAGAAAAAAAUUUCUAAAGUUAUUUAUUGCUGUCGAUUCUGAGAUACUGAUGUGGAUCAUCUUGUGGACUUGUGAGAUACUGGGC
RNAcentral lists this long non-coding RNA (203 nucleotides) under Elaeis guineensis (African oil palm). RNAcentral's name for it is "long non-coding RNA (EGUI_LNC002086)". The record is from RNAcentral. Lineage: Eukaryota; Viridiplantae; Streptophyta; Magnoliopsida; Arecales; Arecaceae.